AACGUAGGGGUCAAGCGUUAUCCGGAAUUACUGGGCGUAAAGGGCGAGUAGGUGGUUAUACAAGUUAAGUGUGAAAGCUCCCGGCUCAACUGGGAGAGUGCACUUAAAACUGUAUAACUAGAGGAUGGUAGAGGCAAGUGGAAUUUCCGGUGUAGCGGUGAAAUGCGUAGAUAUCGGGAGGAACACCAGUGGCGAAGGCGGCUUGCUGGGCCAUACCUGACACUGAGACGCGACAGCUAGGGGAGAGAACGGG
RNAcentral lists this ribosomal RNA (253 nucleotides) under uncultured bacterium. RNAcentral's name for it is "partial 16S ribosomal RNA". It matches the Rfam family "Bacterial small subunit ribosomal RNA", at positions 524 to 776 of the family's 1533-position model. The record is from RNAcentral.